AAAGUUGAUCCUGGCUCAGGACGAACGCUGGCGGCGUGCCUAAUACAUGCAAGUCGAGCGGACAGAUGGGAGCUUGCUCCCUGAUGUUAGCGGCGGACGGGUGAGUAACACGUGGGUAACCUGCCUGUAAGACUGGGAUAACUCCGGGAAACCGGGGCUAAUACCGGAUGCUUGUUUGAACCGCAUGGUUCAAACAUAAAAGGUGGCUUCGGCUACCACUUACAGAUGGACCCGCGGCGCAUUAGCUAGUUGGUGAGGUAAUGGCUCACCAAGGCAACGAUGCGUAGCCGACCUGAGAGGGUGAUCGGCCACACUGGGACUGAGACACGGCCCAGACUCCUACGGGAGGCAGCAGUAGGGAAUCUUCCGCAAUGGACGAAAGUCUGACGGAGCAACGCCGCGUGAGUGAUGAAGGUUUUCGGAUCGUAAAGCUCUGUUGUUAGGGAAGAACAAGUACCGUUCGAAUAGGGCGGUACCUUGACGGUACCAACCAGAAAGCC
Molecule: ribosomal RNA, 500 nt
Filed under: Bacillus halotolerans
Lineage: Bacteria; Bacillati; Bacillota; Bacilli; Caryophanales; Bacillaceae
Description: bacterial SSU rRNA
Rfam family: Bacterial small subunit ribosomal RNA
Source: RNAcentral